RNAcentral lists this transfer RNA (56 nucleotides) under Plectus aquatilis. Its description in RNAcentral is "tRNA-Cys". The record is from RNAcentral. Lineage: Eukaryota; Metazoa; Nematoda; Chromadorea; Plectida; Plectidae.
UUGGCUUUAAGCAUUUAUGUGUAACUUAUUUGCAAAAUAAGGAGGGUUGAGCUAUG